Molecule: ribosomal RNA, 1149 nt
Filed under: uncultured stramenopile
Lineage: Eukaryota
Description: SSU rRNA
Rfam family: Eukaryotic small subunit ribosomal RNA
Source: RNAcentral
ACCUGGUUGAUCCUGGCAGUAGUCAUACCCUUGUCUCAAAGGUUAAGCCAUGGAUGUCUAAGUAUAAACAAUCAUACUUGUGAAACUGGGAAUGGGUCAUUACAUCAGUUAUAGUUUAUUUGAUAGUACCUUACUACUUGGAUAACCGUAGUAAUUCUAGAGCUAAUACAUGCAUCAACUCCCAACUGCCUGUGCGGAAGGGAUGUUUUAUUAGAUUGAAACCAAUGCAGGGGCAACCCUGGUGUUGUGGUGAAUCAUAAUAACUGUGCGAAUCGCAUGGCCCUGGUGCCGGCGAUGAAUCAUUCAAGUUUCUGCCCUAUCAGCUUUCGAUGGUAGGGUAUUGGCCUACCAUGGCGUUAACGGGUAACGGGGAAUUAGGGUUCGAUUCCGGAGAGGGAGCCUGAGAAACGGCUACCACAUCCAAGGAAGGCAGCAGGCGCGUAAAUUACCCAAUCCUGAUACAGGGAGGUAGUGACAAUAAAUAACAAUGCUGGGCUUUUUCAAGUCUGGCAAUUGGAAUGAGAACAAUUUAAAUCCCUUAACGAGGAUCAAUUGGAGGGCAAGUCUGGUGCCAGCAGCCGCGGUAAUUCCACCUCCAAUAGCGUAUAUUAAAGUUGUUGCAGUUAAAAAGCUCGUAGUUGGAUUUCUGGUGGGAGUGACGGUCCGUCCUGUUGGAUGUGUACUAGUGUCGUCUCUGUCCAUCCUUGGGGAGAGCGCGCCUGGCAUUAGGUUGUCGGGUGUGGGAUCCCCAUCCUUUACUGUGAAAAAAUUAGAGUGUUUAAAGCAGGCUUAUGCCGUUGAAUACAUUAGCAUGGAAUAAUAAGAUAGGACCUUGGUGGUCUAUUUUGUUGGUUUGCACGCCAAGGUAAUGAUUAAUAGGGAGUUGGGGUAUCCGUAUUUCGUAGUCAGAGGUGAAAUUCUUGGAUUUACGAAAGACGAACUACUGCGAAAGCAUUUACCAAGGAUGUUUUCAUUAAUCAAGAACGAAAGUUAGGGGAUCGAAGAUGAUUAGAUACCAUUGUAGUCUUAACCAUAAACUAUCCCGACUAGGGAUUGGCGGUCGUUAACUACACGACUCCGUCAGCCCCUUAUGAGAAAUCAAAGUCUUUGGGUUCCGGGGGGAGUAUGGUCGCAAGGCUGAAACUUAAA